ACGGGAGGCAGCAGUGGGGAAUAUUGGGCAAUGGGCGAAAGCCUGACCCAGCAACGCCGCGUGAAGGAAGAAGGUCUUCGGAUUGUAAACUUCUUUUAUGAGGGACGAAGGACGUGACGGUACCUCAUGAAUAAGCGUCGGCCAACUCCGUGCCAGCAGCCGCGGUAAUACGGAGGAUGCAGGCGUUAUCCGGAUUUAUUAGGUUUAAAGGGUGCGCAGGCGGGACAUUAAGUCGGCGGUGAAAUACCGUGGCCCAACCACGGGGCUGCCGUCGAUACUGAUGACCUAGAGUGCGUGUGACGUAGGCGGAAUGUGACGUGUAGCGGUGAAAUGCUUAGAUAUGUCACAGAACACCGAUUGCGAAGGCAGCCUACGAAUGCGUAACUGACGCUCAUGCACGAAAGCGCGGGUAGCGAACAGGAUUAGAUACCCUGGUA
This is a ribosomal RNA of 437 nucleotides. It matches the Rfam family "Bacterial small subunit ribosomal RNA", at positions 341 to 792 of the family's 1533-position model.